This 487-nucleotide ribosomal RNA is filed under the name uncultured bacterium. RNAcentral's name for it is "bacterial SSU rRNA". It matches the Rfam family "Bacterial small subunit ribosomal RNA", at positions 30 to 507 of the family's 1533-position model. The record is from RNAcentral.
AUUGAACGCUGGCGGCAUGCCUUACACAUGCAAGUCGAACGGCAGCACGGGAGCAAUCCUGGUGGCGAGUGGCGAACGGGUGAGUAAUAUAUCGGAACGUGCCCAGUCGUGGGGGAUAACGUAGCGAAAGCUACGCUAAUACCGCAUACGAUCUACGGAUGAAAGCGGGGGAUCGCAAGACCUCGCGCGAUUGGAGCGGCCGAUAUCAGAUUAGCUAGUUGGUGGGGUAAAAGCUCACCAAGGCGACGAUCUGUAGCUGGUCUGAGAGGACGACCAGCCACACUGGAACUGAGACACGGUCCAGACUCCUACGGGAGGCAGCAGUGGGGAAUUUUGGACAAUGGGCGCAAGCCUGAUCCAGCAAUGCCGCGUGCAGGAUGAAGGCCUUCGGUUGUAAACUGCUUUGUACGGUAACGAAACGGUAGAGCUCUAAUAAAGACUUGCUAAUGACGGUACCGUAAGAAUAAGACACCGGCUAACUAACGUG